UGGGGAAUAUUGCACAAUGGGCGAAAGCCUGAUGCAGCAACGCCGCGUGAGGGAAGACGGUUUUCGGAUUGUAAACCUCUGUUUUCGGUGACGAACAAAUGACGGUAACCGAGUAGGAAGCCACGGCUAACUACGUGCCAGCAGCCGCGGUAAUACGUAGGUGGCAAGCGCUAUCCGGAUUUACUGGGUGUAAAGGGAGCGUAGGCGGCAUGGCAAGUCUGAUGUGAAAACCCAGGGCUCAACUCUGGGACUGCAUUGGAAACUGUCAAGCUGGAGUGUCGGAGAGGUAAGCGGAAUUCCUAGUGUAGCGGUGAAAUGCGUAGAUAUUAGGAGGAACACCAGUGGCGAAGGCGGCUUACUGGACGAUGACUGACGCUGAGGCUCGAAAGCGUGGGGAGCAAACAGGAUUAGAUACCCUGGUAGU
This 424-nucleotide ribosomal RNA is filed under the name uncultured Lachnospiraceae bacterium. RNAcentral describes it as "bacterial SSU rRNA". It matches the Rfam family "Bacterial small subunit ribosomal RNA", at positions 355 to 794 of the family's 1533-position model. Lineage: Bacteria; Bacillati; Bacillota; Clostridia; Lachnospirales; Lachnospiraceae. The record is from RNAcentral.